This 629-nucleotide long non-coding RNA is filed under the name Homo sapiens (human). RNAcentral's name for it is "non-protein coding lnc-TMEM267-1:1". The record is from RNAcentral. Lineage: Eukaryota; Metazoa; Chordata; Mammalia; Primates; Hominidae.
GUCUCUAUGGCUCCGACCGAGGGGCGGAGCCGCUGCUCGAGCUGCUGCUGGAUUGAACUCAGAGAAGCCGGGGCUGCUUUGACUCUCCCGCGAAGACCUUUCCUUCACUGUUCUACUGUGAUUCCCGUUGUGGUUCUGACCCUGAAAUUUACUAUGCACCUUUUCAAGCUCAAAGACUCAUGGUGCUUUCUUCCCUGGAUGUUAUUUAUAUCCUGGACUUCACAUCAUAUCCGAGAUGGGAUUCGUCAUGGAACCAGACAAAUGAUGUCUUCAAAACAUGGAGUUCGUAUUGAUGUCUGAGGUACACGGCAGUCUUAGAGAAGCAAAUGGCUCAGAUGAUGAUAAUUAAGAGUAGCCAACAUUAAAGUUAAUUUUUAAAAAUACAGUUAGGUGUUUAUAUUAUUUAGUUAUUAUAAUUCUGCAAUCCUCUUGCUCAGGAAGUGUAUACAACUUUUUUAAAAAUUAUACUUGUUAUUAUUCUACUUCUCUCUUCUAUGACAACUCUAGUGCAAUAUUAGAGUUUCAUUUAUUCCACAAUAUAUUUUUACUGUUUUUUUCUAUUUAUCUGGCUUUACUAGUAGUUCUUUUAGAUUAACAUCCAGUUCAUUUUCUGGAAAUAUACCUGGAAU